RNAcentral lists this ribosomal RNA (300 nucleotides) under uncultured Methylobacterium sp. RNAcentral describes it as "bacterial SSU rRNA". It matches the Rfam family "Bacterial small subunit ribosomal RNA", at positions 115 to 432 of the family's 1533-position model. The record is from RNAcentral. Lineage: Bacteria; Pseudomonadati; Pseudomonadota; Alphaproteobacteria; Hyphomicrobiales; Methylobacteriaceae.
GCGUGGGAACGUGCCUUCCGGUUCGGAAUAACCCUGGGAAACUAGGGCUAAUACCGGAUACGCCCUUAUGGGGAAAGGUUUACUGCCGGAAGAUCGGCCCGCGUCUGAUUAGCUAGUUGGUGGGGUAACGGCCUACCAAGGCGACGAUCAGUAGCUGGUCUGAGAGGAUGAUCAGCCACACUGGGACUGAGACACGGCCCAGACUCCUACGGGAGGCAGCAGUGGGGAAUAUUGCGCAAUGGGCGAAAGCCUGACGCAGCCAUGCCGCGUGUGUGAAGAAGGCUCUAGGGUUGUAAAGCA